GUCCUCGUGGCGCAAAGGCAGCGCAUCGGACUUCUAAUCCGGGGGUUGUGGGUUCGAGUCCCACCGAGGACG
Corticium candelabrum is the source of this 72-nucleotide non-coding RNA. NCBI's taxonomy places the organism in Eukaryota, Metazoa, Porifera, Homoscleromorpha, Homosclerophorida, Plakinidae. The record is from the annotation of a RefSeq genome assembly.